Cucumis melo (muskmelon) is the source of this 2341-nucleotide long non-coding RNA. RefSeq lists it as uncharacterized. NCBI's taxonomy places the organism in Eukaryota, Viridiplantae, Streptophyta, Magnoliopsida, Cucurbitales, Cucurbitaceae. The record is from RefSeq and is a predicted model, not a curated record. The transcript is spliced from 3 exons.
UCAAACCUUUCAUCUCCCUCCUUUUCUCUCCCAAAACCCUCAAGCCCUUCGACGUACUGUCCUUCUCCAUCUAUACGUCUCUCUAUUUUCACCGGCCACCGACCACAAGAACACGCAAUCUUCACCGAUCACCCACCACAGCCCACGCAACGUUUCGGCCAGCCACUGAAGGGAACUUUUCGUCCGGCCACGACACGUUUGAGCCAUAUGCUUUUCGAACGGCGACAUUUAAGCUAAGUAGAAGCUAUACGCGUUUCGCACGGUGACGACGACCUACAGUGACGUCGAAGCUACACGUUCUAGCUCUCGCGAAGGCCUCUGUUGAUUCGCCCCACUCUCUGCUGCUCCAUCGUCUGCCUCCGCCAGCGUUUGGUAUGCGGCUUGGACUUCUAGACUUUCUACCUUCCCUCACCUUAAAAAACGCCACCGCUUCCGCCAUUAACACCGAUUUCAACUAGUACAGAUGAAGUUACCUUCAUUCUCCUUAACUUCUUUACUCACUCAUCACCUUCCUUCAUAUUUAUCCAAUUUCUAAUUUUAUCUACAAAUUACCAUAUGUUUGUUACUACAAUUUGUCUUCUUAAUUAAUGUACUAAACCUAGUUUUGGAACACAAGGCAUGUCCAGAGGUUAUGUGAUGAACUGGCCAAGGUAGUUAAGAAAACUCAUGGAUUAAAUGUUAAGCCUCUUGCUGAUUUUGUUAUUUGCUGUGGUCAAACUGAGGCAUUUACUGCUGCUGUAUUUUCUGAUCUCUAGGAGUUGAGGAUAACUAUCGGUGAGACUUUAAGUUUAGAGUUAUCUAAGAGUGUUGUGGUGCUUGGAGGAAGGUGAUGUCUCUGUUUCUUAUUAUUACACUUUGUGUUUUAUGAUUAAAAACAAUGAUCAUAACUCGUUUUGUAAUAUGAAUAAGAACGAUGUUUAUAUGUUGUAAGUAUGUAAUGACCCUAAAUAUACAUUCAAGAUAUACAUGCAAUUAGUUAGUUCUUUGAUUGAAAGUUUGGGUUAAUUUAAGAAACUUAAAUAGGCCAAUUGAUGGAAAGUUUAAAUUCUAGCUUAUUGAAGAUUCUUGACAUAUAAUUCUUGUGAUGAAGUUGGUGUUAUUGCAUGUUGCUUAGUGAUAAGUUGAUGUGUGCAAUUAAGUUAUUGUAGGUACUUAUAUUCACUCAUUAUUGAUUUAAAGAAGUACUACAAGAAAUCGAGAUUUUCCCGACGCCGAAAAACGUCGGAGGAAGUGAAAAUACGUCGGGAAAGGACUUCUGACGCAGUCCUCGACAUCGGGACAAACGUCGGGGGAAGUGAGUCGGGAUAGGCUUUUCUGACGCUGUGUUGGUCACGCGUCGGGAAAGCCUCUCCCGACGUCAUCUUUCUCGACCCAAUCCACGACGUCGGAAAAUCCUCGUCUACUUCUUUCCUGACGCCAUGUACUGCGUCAGGAAAGCCUCCCCCGACAGGCUUUACUGUGCAGCUUUGUUAAGGAACCGUUAUGCCGACACUAUACUGAAAGCUCGAGAAAAGGCACUUGAAAAGGUGACAAACGGGAUCCUGAAAAAGUGAGAAUGGAGAGAGAAGAACUUGAAAGACAGCAAAGAGAAGGUUGGCAGCGAGCUACGGACGGAGCUGAAGUUGCGGCAACGACGACGGACGGCAACGACGAUGGAACGGACGGCGGCGAGCUACGGACAGCGACGAAUGUUUCUCUCUUCUCCAAACCCUUUCUCUUUCGUUUUCAGUUUUGUGUAAAACAGAAACGAAAUAAAUAAUCAAGGGAUUUCCCGACGCACUACAUACGACGUCGGGAAAACCUAGACCUUUUCCGACGCACUACUUACGGCGUCAGGAAAGGUUUUCCUAACGCAUUACUUACGGCGUCGGGAAAACCUAUGCCUUUCCCGACGUACUACUUUCCUUUCCCGACGCACACUUACGACGUCGGGAAAACCUAGGCCUUGGGAAUACCCUUAUUUUCCACGUGAGGCUUUUCCCGAUGCACUACUUACGGCGUCGGGAAUACACCUUAUUUCCCGACGUCUUGUGUCCGACACAUGAAUUGUGCGUCGGGAAACCCUCUUAUUCUCGACGUCUUACUUUAUGCGUCGAGAAUAGUUUUUUCUCUCGACGUCUUACUUUAUGCAUCGGGAGAACCUCUUAUUCCCGACGUCUUUUCCGAUUUCUUGUAGUGAAGGUUUCAAAGUACGUUUUUGUAGAUCCAUCUCUUAUUUUAGUUGGCCAUAGUACUAGAAAUUGAGCUCGAAACCUUUGUAGUAGAUUAAUGACUUUCAAACAAGAUCAAUUGGUUGUUGCUCCUUAUAAUCUUGGAUAAGUAUAAUUUUUAUCAAUUCAAA